Molecule: ribosomal RNA, 567 nt
Filed under: uncultured bacterium
Lineage: Bacteria
Description: bacterial SSU rRNA
Rfam family: Bacterial small subunit ribosomal RNA
Source: RNAcentral
AGAGUUUGAUCCUGGCUCAGAACGAACGCUGGCGGCGUGGCUAAGACAUGCAAGUCGAACGAAUUAUCCUAAAGAGUAAUCUAAGGGAUAAUUAGUGGCGAAAGGGUUAGUAAUGGAUAGGUAACGUACCCCGUGCUUCGGGAUAGCGUCGGUUGCUUCGGCAACCUACCGAAAGGGGCGAUAAUACCGGAUAAUGUCAUUUGUCGUAAGUCAAAUGAUCAAAGAUUUAUCGGCGUGGGAGCGGCCUAUCUCCUAUCAGCUUGUUGGUGGGGUAAUGGCCUACCAAGGCAACGACGGGUAGCGGGACUGAGAGGUUGACCCGCAACAUCGGGACUGAGACACUGCCCGGACCUCCACGGAGGGCUGCAGUAACGAAUAUUGGGCAAUGGGCGCAAGCCUGACCCAGCAACGCCGCGUGCGGGAUGAAGUCUUUCGGGAUGUAAACCGCUGUCAGGGGUAAGAAAGCCUUCGGGUUGAUCGAACCCUGAGGAAGUCACGGCUAACUUCGUGCCAGCAGCCGCGGUAAUACGAAGGUGGCAAGCGUUGUUCGGUAUCACUGGGCUUAAA